Portunus trituberculatus (swimming crab) is the source of this 3959-nucleotide RNA transcript. It is a transcript of the gene named asparagine synthetase domain-containing protein 1-like, with no coding region annotated. The record is from RefSeq and is a predicted model, not a curated record. Lineage: Eukaryota; Metazoa; Arthropoda; Malacostraca; Decapoda; Portunidae. The transcript has 9 exons.
CCCCCUUCGCAGCUCCUCCACCCAGCUGAUUUGACGUCACAUAUGGAGCCACAAUAUUGGUCAACGAGAGAGAGAGACCACAGAAAAGUUCUCUCUCUCUCUCUCUUUGACUAAUAUCGUGGCUCUAUAUAUGUGACAUCAAUCAGCUGGGUGGAGCUGGGAAGGGGGAGCUGGAGGGAAGGCGCACGAUUUCACGAGGAGCACGAUUAUACGCUACACCGGGAAUCGAGGCGAGCGGGCGGGAUGGUUUCUUUACGAGGAAACGAGUGCAGAACUGUAUUGUCUGAAAUCAGUGAGCAAUUUUAUACAUUUUUCAGUACCUUAGAACUCUUAAUUAUGUCCCCCAAAAAUAUUGGGCAUAAGUGAGUGGCCCUAGCUGUGACUUAAAAGCUGGAAUUAAUAAGGAAAUUAGAGAAAGGAGUCAAGAGUUGCGAAUAUUUGUGAGGAGUAUGGUCUGGCCAAGCAAACUGUAUCGCACGUCAGUAAAUCAGAAGAUAAGCUGGUAAAAUAUUUUGCUAAAUAGUGUGCGGAUGUAUCAUCCAUUAAAAGUGGUAAAGGUGCACCAUGGAAAAAUAAAGUGACUGAUCAAGUACAAUGUGUGGCAUCUGCUUCUUUUGUGGUGUUGGACUUUCUGUCCAGCAACUGGAACAUCAGGAAGAACUAAGCUGUAGAUUGCUGAGUCACCGUGGCCCAGAUAUUCAUGCCAAGGAGGUCAUCUCUAUCACUGAAAAGGUGACUGGUGUAUUUGAAGGAAAUGUGUUGUGGCUUCAAGGACCUCAGCCCACCUCACAGCCUCUCCUGGACUCCCAUGGCAGCGUCCUGCUUUGGAAUGGAGACAUCUUGGCUGGACACACGGUUCCCUGUGACAUGAGUGACACUCAGUAUGUGGCAGAGCAACUUGCCUUGGGACAGCUGGAGCAAGUGCUGUCAUUCCUAGCUGGCAUCAAAGGUCCCUGGGCCCUUGUUUACUUCCACCGUCCCUCCAAAAAACUGUACUUUGGUAGGGAUGUAUUUGGUCGUCACAGCUUGUUGUGGCAGCCACCCUCACAUUCGCUACCCUGGCUGCGUGUAACCUCGGUGUGGCAGCAGUGUAGCCAGAUGCAAGAAGUGAUGGCUUAUGGUCUCUACACCAUAGAUUUUUCUUCUGUAACCUUGGAUGAGGGAUUUAAAAUAGAUCUGGUGCCUUGGUCACACUUAUCAGUGGAUGAUCUGCCUUCACUUCACCCAGCAAUAGAAGUGAAACAGCAGGUAAAACUAGGAUCAGGCUUGAAGCACUCUCUCAAUAUGAGUCUGCCUUCCAUGGCCAUCCUUGAGCAGUUAAAUAGUUUGCCAUCCACAAUGGAACAUCACAACCUGGAGGCCUUCAGUGCUGUCCUGGGAAGUAAUGUUGAGCAGCUCAUGGAGGUUCUGAUCCAAGCAGUGCAGCGGAGGGUAGACAAGUGCCCACCCUGCUGUCAAUUCUGUACUGCCUCACCCAGCCUCUGCCACCAUUCUAGGAUUGCUGUGUUGUUCUCUGGAGGUUUGGAUUCUGCUAUGCUUGCCCUCCUUCUUGACUUCUGCAUACCAAAGGAAGAGAGUAUUGAUUUGCUGAAUGUUGCUUUUCCUACUAGAGUAUAUUCUAAUAAUAAUGCUAAGGGUAAGAUUAAGCCAAAGCACAAGCCAAGCAAUCAUGUACCAUCUUCUGUGAGCUUUGAGGUUCCAGACAGAAUUGCUGGCAGGGAAUGUUGGCAGCAACUGCAGCAGCUCAGACCCCAUAGAGACUGGAAUUUUGUGCAGAUUGAUGUGACGAGUGAGGAGCUGUGCCUAGAGAGGGAGAGGAUCAUCCGACACCUUGUAGCUCCUCUGUCUUCUGUCCUUGACGACAGUAUUGGCUGUGCCCUUUGGUUUGCUGGUCGAGGUGAAGGAUCAGUUAAGGGUUGUCCCUAUGUUUCACCUGCACGGGUACUGCUUUGUGGUCAAGGUGCAGAUGAGCAGCUUGGGGGGUAUUCACGCCAUCGGGGACGUUUUGGUACAGGAGGCUGGUCAUCUCUUCUGGAGGAGAUAAAGAUGGAAGUUGCUCGUAUUCACACCAGGAACUUGGGUCGAGACAACCGUAUCUUGGCCCAUCAUGGCCGAGCCCCACGAUUUCCAUACUUAGAUGAAGAUGUAGUGACCACUCUCAACAAGAUGCCUAUAUGGAUAAAGGCGAACUUGCUCCUGGGACGAGGUACAGGAGAAAAACUGUUGCUUCGUCUGGCUGCUGCCACACUUGGCCUCACUAAGGCAGCCAACCUUCCAAAACGAGCUAUUCAGUUUGGCUCCAGAAUUGCCAAGCUGGAGGACCAAAAAGAGAAAGGCUCUGACCAAUGCUAUCGCCUUAGAUGUGAUCCUGCUGACUCUGAUGUGACAUGAUUGACUGGUGAAUGAUCUAGUGGUAUCAAGUGGCUGUGUCACAUAUUUACCCAUGGCCAAGAGGACCUAGAUUCAAGUCUUUUGCUGACAGAGACAACCUGGGCCUGUCCCUUUUAUGCUGUAGCUCCUACUCUUUCAACUGAGAAAAGCUUCUUGGAACCAUGACUCGAUGCUAUCUGAUGGUGAGGAGUAACAGCAACUUCAUGAUCAUAACAAAACACAUCAACAUCCUCACCAUUAUGGCAGCAGGACGAAAGAGAUCGAGCUAUAUAAUCUCCUACAAACUACAAGUGAUAAACUAUGCCAAGAAACAACAGAGCUGUGGCAAGGGAUUUUGGACCACCACCUAUGGAAAAAAUUAAUCGUGUCUGGUGACAACAAGAAAACAAGAAGAGUGCAAGAAAAGGUAAAUGCAACCUUCAUUGCCCAGCCCCACAUUAGUUAGAACUUCAGGAUAACAUUGCUUUUGCAGCAAUAUUUUCUGCCAGUGUAAUAUGAUGCUAGAUUGUCUUCAACAAUAUAUGCUUGAAUACACUAAAAACUUUUUUCCUGAAUUUGACCUGCUGAAAUUGUGGUGCAUCUUAUAUGCUUGUGUGCCCUAUAUGCUGUUAAAGAUGAUAUAUACUUGUAAAAAAAGCUUAGGUUCCUCUUCACAUGUCUUUAGUAGGUCUCUUUCAAAUUUUCUGUCCUCCUUCCUUCUUAUUCUAACAUAUAAAACAAUAUGAAAAGCAUUCAUACCUCUUUUUAUUGCUUCCUAUUGUCUUCAUUUUGUUGCUUCUUUAAUUUCUCCCAAGGUACAUCCUUACUCUUCUUAGCUUUUGUGCAUGUAGCAUUAUACCACAUGUGUUUGCUUUCUUUUACUCUGAAUUUGGGAACAUAUGCCUUUACCCCUUUAUCAUACUUUUCUAGGAACAUUUCAUACUUCUCAGGUUCUGUUUUGCCCUCCAUGAUUUCUUUCCAAUUAAUACUACCAAAGUAUUUACUUAAUCUAUCAAAAUUUGUCUUGGCGUGAUUCAAUUUUUUUGUGUAUGACUUUCUUUGCAUUUCAAUAUUUCCCUAUCCUCCACUUCACUUCAAAACCACAUGAUCACUUUUCCCCAUCAGACUAUAAUAUUUAAUGGUUGGACAAGUCUCUGCUUUCUUUGUGAAUACCAAAUCAAGCAUGGAUGGUUCCUCUUCUUCUCAAAACCUUGUAUAGUCCUUCACCCACUAGUCCAUUAUAUUUACUAUUGCCAAUUGUAGCACUUCUUCCCCUCCAUCGUCCAGCAUAACCAUUUAUUUCCAUUUCUUCCAAAUUUACAUAUUUGUAGUUGAGGUCUCUGAUGAGUAGUACUCUCCUGUCCUUCCUCAGCAUGUUGUCCAAGCAUUUAGCACUUCUCUUGCAUUUCCUUGGCUUAUCCAGUCUCCAUGUAUUAGCCUUUGGUGGCACAAAUGUUGCUAUGAUUCUCCACCUUUCCCUCCCACUGGUCCUAAUUGUUAUACUUAACCUUUUCACUCUGGGCAUGAGAAAACAGCUCCAGGCACAGUAUCCAGGCUAGGUGGGGGUGGCGAGUUACUUGGAGAGGCAG